UUAAAUAUUUUAUUAUAAAAAAACUUCCCGUUAUUUUAAAACGAAACUGUUGCCGAAUUCUGCGAAAUUCGGCUAGCGGCUAGGUUAUGUACAAUCCGAUUCGGUUUGGUUAAAUAUUAGUUCGCAUAGAAAUAUAUAGAGGUCGCUAUUUUAGAAUAAACCAUGAAUAUAUAAAAUACAUAGAUUGGGUAUUAACCGUAUUUGUUCAGUUUGUUCUUUUCAACUUCUUGCACUUUUCGUUUUUUUUCUUCUCUUUCUCUCCAAUUUUUAAAUAUAUAUAAUUAUCUCAUUUCGUUCCAGUAAGCUCAGUUAAAAAGAACAAACCUAAUAUUGAUCGAUUUUGUUGAGAAUUAUUUAUAUAUUUUUUCGAAAACACGCAGCAAUAACGCAUCGGUCUUCGUCGUUUAUUUCACGAUCCAAGAUAUGUUUUCUUCGUCUCUCCACGAGAAUCUUUUUUCGAAGCGAGUCGCAAGGAUGCCGAAAUCAAGGAAUUCUCAAGAAAUGAGAUACCAGUUUAUCGAGGUGCAUACUCGCCUUUACUGAAUACUCCAAAUGCCAAGGAGACAGCAUCCGAGGAAUAUCAUGGAUCCGAUGGAUUUGGAGAUGUGUACACUGGUGAGCCAGAUAUGGAUAGACUGCAGAAGGAACAUGCCGUGUGCGCUCUGCACAGAAUUAUAACAGAGGAUCCUGGUAACGUCUCUGUGGUCUGUUUGGGUCCCUUGAC
This is a long non-coding RNA of Formica exsecta, 724 nucleotides long. RefSeq lists it as uncharacterized. Lineage: Eukaryota; Metazoa; Arthropoda; Insecta; Hymenoptera; Formicidae. The record is from RefSeq and is a predicted model, not a curated record. The transcript has 3 exons.